This is a long non-coding RNA of Onychostoma macrolepis, 822 nucleotides long. RefSeq lists it as uncharacterized. The record is from RefSeq and is a predicted model, not a curated record. NCBI's taxonomy places the organism in Eukaryota, Metazoa, Chordata, Actinopteri, Cypriniformes, Cyprinidae. The transcript has 5 exons.
UUUUUGAAACGUGAACAUCUUUGACGAAUCUUUUCAUCGGAGGGACAUACAUCUCAGAUUUCAUUAAAAUAUCUCCGCUUUUCUUUCGAAGAUGAACGAAAGUCUUAGAUGGUUUGGAGCAUCUUAAGGCUUCUGCGAGCGUGUAUGGCGUCUGGCUGUUGGAACCUCACUGUGACUUCAGAUAAGAACAAAGAUUAAAUUGUAAGAAGGGUUGCUUAUAAGAGCAUACAGUACAUCUGAAACUGCUGAGGCUGGGAAGGUUUUUGACUAUAUUUCCAGCCAGAUCAGCUGCUAUAGAAGACAAACUGAAAUCUGAGUGCAGAGACAAGCAAAGGAAUACUGCAAGGCACUACUGACUAGGCUGUGCCCAGGUCUCCGGAACCUGCGACGACGCUCAGCUCCAUUGGCCCUUAGUCUGCGCCUUCGGGUCCACCAGCUCUGUCUCCAUCGGUCGGCCCCCAGAUGUCGGCAGCCACACCAUCUACAUCUUGGCUCCUCCCUCCCUCGACUCCGCCGUGUGUUGUCAGCACUGGGAUGCUCUGGGUCUGUGCCAUGUGCCAAACACCAUCUAAGCCGCCAGGGCAUCAUCGUCAUCCUCUCAUCACCAUUCCUACACCAUCUCCUCGUCCACCUCCAAAACCCCCUCCAUCCCUCCCUAUUCUGUUGCUUGAACUUUAUCAUCUUCAGUCUUUGCACACACAUCUAUUCACUUUACAUGUUUUUUUUCUUCAGAAAAUUGCAUUGUAAUUUUUAUUUAUACAUUGAUGUAAAAUUCUUUACUUUUCAGUAAUACAGGUAUAACUGAAAUGUUCUACAAAUGGA